This 73-nucleotide transfer RNA is filed under the name Thermoprotei archaeon. RNAcentral's name for it is "tRNA-Gln". It matches the Rfam family "tRNA". Rfam says of the family: Transfer RNA (tRNA) molecules are approximately 80 nucleotides in length. Their secondary structure includes four short double-helical elements and three loops (D, anti-codon, and T loops). The record is from RNAcentral. RNAcentral also lists the same sequence under 2 other names. Lineage: Archaea; Thermoproteati; Thermoproteota; Thermoprotei.
AGCCCCGUGGUGUAGCGGUCAAGCAUGGCGGGCUUUGGCCCCGCCGACGCGGGUUCGAAUCCCGCCGGGGCUA